This 207-nucleotide ribosomal RNA is filed under the name uncultured bacterium. RNAcentral's name for it is "partial 16S ribosomal RNA". It matches the Rfam family "Bacterial small subunit ribosomal RNA", at positions 1286 to 1500 of the family's 1533-position model. The record is from RNAcentral.
UCUCAGUUCGGACUGGAGUCUGCAACCCGACUCCACGAAGCUGGAUUCGCUAGUAAUCGCGCAUCAGCCACGGCGCGGUGAAUACGUUCCCGGGCCUUGUACACACCGCCCGUCAAGCCAUGGGAGCCGGGGGUACCUGAAGUGCGUAACCGCGAGGAGCGCCCUAGGGUAAAACUGGUGACUGGGGCUAAGUCGUAACAAGGUAGC